This 681-nucleotide long non-coding RNA is filed under the name Portunus trituberculatus (swimming crab). RNAcentral describes it as "uncharacterized LOC123518263, transcript variant X2". Lineage: Eukaryota; Metazoa; Arthropoda; Malacostraca; Decapoda; Portunidae. The record is from RNAcentral.
ACGGAAGGCAGGCGGCAAGCGCGGCGGGAGACCUGCUGAGGGAAAAGAGCGGCCGGCGCGCGAGUCAGAGAGGAAGCUGAGAGAACGUCAACCUCCCAUCCCGCCCUCAGGUCCACGCAACGACGUAAUGCCGAGAUGUGAGACGAGAAAAUUGGAAGAAUACCCACAGUGCCAUUUCCUCCUACCAGUUCCCCUCUACCAAUGGGACCCAGGAGUAGAAAUUUUAAUCAACAGUGAAGUAAGAAGAGAACUGUUACAUCGUGAUUCAGAAGCCGAAGUUCGAAGCUUAUAGACGAGAAGGAAGUACCACGCCGCGCUAGUUCAUAAAUGGCAGGGACGGAGGAAGGACGGCGUGAGCAUUGUUCUUCUCUUCUGUGAUCCUACUGCAUCAUUUAUGUGACGUGGCUGAGGUGACGCUUAAGAUGUAGAAAUUAUUGGCUGAGGAAGUUGACGAUGUAUAGGUGAUGAAACGGGAGAGGACAUCUAAGAAAAUUGAUUUAACAUCGAUGCCUUCUGUUUCAAGCGCAUGUUUCACCCGGCCGUGUGAAUCUGCAGCGACAUCUUCGAUAGAUACUGCAAUCCCGCCGAAGAGCUGCACAAUCCACGCCAUCUUCAUCUGCUGCUGUAACGAAGGGAUGCUGUAAAAUGAAAAGGAAAUUAAUGAAACAAUUAUCUUCCUCA